Molecule: microRNA precursor, 67 nt
Organism: Gallus gallus (chicken)
Lineage: Eukaryota; Metazoa; Chordata; Aves; Galliformes; Phasianidae
Source: Ensembl
UGUGAUCUUGAAGAACGUGGGCCUGGCACAAAGCAGAGCUAGGCCCCUGUGCUUUAGGAGAGCAAAA